AAUACCCCUAUCUUAACAGCUUCUCCCCUGAACCCUAGCUUCUCCACCACCGCCGCAAGGACUGCCGCCGUCCGUCGCUCUCAGACACUACCAUCGUCGUCUGGUCGUCCGUGCUUCUUCCUCCUUCAAGAAUCGCAGCUUCUUCUUCCUCGACCUCGGCGCAUCAGUUCCUGGUAUUCAUUUGCUCCAUCGCGCUCCUGCCGCCGUCCGUCGAGCGCUCAGUCACCAUCGUCUUCGUCUGGUCGUCGCAUAUUCUUCCAACCCACCACUGUCUUUUGAGUUGUGUUCGUCACCUGGCCUCUGUCUCCGUCACGAUUCUGCCCCCCUCUUCUCAGACUGCUCAUUGGAAAAACCAAGAACAAAAUCUUAGACUUCGACGGUCAGUAUGUAACCGAAGCCAUGCAUCAUAUCCCUCCAACUCCUUCCAUGGCUGCUGCAAGAGAAGAAUUUGAGAAUGUUAUGUUUGGUGCUUUGGAUAAUCUCUUUACUAAUACAAAGAUUAAGCCUAAGGAUAUUGGUGUUCUUGUUGUGAAUUGCAGUUUGUUUAACCCAACUUCUUCAUUUUCUGCAAUGAUUGUGAACAAGUACAAGCUUAGGGGUAACAUUAGAAGCUUCAAUUUGGGUGGUAUGGGUUGUAGUGCAGGAGUUAUAGCCAUUGAUCUUGCUAAGGACAUGCUUCAAGUUCAUAGGAACACUUAUGCUGUUGUUGUUAGCACUGAGAACAUUACUCAGAAUUGGUACUUUGGGAACAAGAAAUCUAUGCUGAUCCCAAAUUGUUUGUUCCGUGUUGGUGGUUCUGCUGUUUUGUUGUCCAACAAAGGCUCUGUUAAGAGAAGAGCAAAGUACAAGCUUGUUCAUGUUGUGAGGACAAAUAAGGCUGUUAGAAGAUUUUUCCGAUCAAGUUUUGAACAUUUGAGUUUCCAGGGCAUGAGGUAGAUAGAUGCUUGCUUUCUCACUUGUGAGACAAACAUUAAAGGAACUUACAUAUGUUAAAGAAUUUGGUAGCCAAGACUAGUGAAGCUGAUUGCUUCCUUGACUGGACUCAGAAUGGAAAUGAAUCCUUUCAAGUGCACCUCAGAUGGCUGAUAUGGCUAGAACAAUUUCGAGAGAUUCUGACAAGCACCAAAAAAAGUGUGUUGCAUGUCAGUGGUUUUUCUUCAAUUGUAGCAAUUGGAAUGCAACAGAAACGUUAAUCUAGAACCAGGGGGCUUCACUCUUUUUUAUUUUGUUUUAGAGCCAUAAGUAAAUGCAAACUCUUAAGUAAAUAAAUUCAGGUCCACUUUGAUAUGAUGCACAAAAUCUGCUCCUUUUUUUCUUUCCUGGUAAUAUUUUGAUCUAUUGACUCUAGAAAAGAGGGGAGAAGUUUAAUAUGCACAAGUACUCUCAAACAUGUUACAUACUAAGGAUGGGCACUGACUCAAAAAGAGGAACCCAAUAUUCCGCUUUGUUUUGUAAUUUAUUCUUUCUUUGUUAUUUUCCUGUUGUGCCUUAUAGUUUAAACAAUUUGAUGCUUAAUAGGAUCAAAAUUGUUAUGAGCUUUCAGCUGAGUAUGAAGGGAAGCAUAAGACUGAGAAGUUGGAGGAACUUGGGAAUAUGCUAACUGGUCUUGAUGCUGGGGAUUCUAUUGUCAUUGCCAAAUCAUUUUCCCACAUGCUUAAUUUGGCUAACUUGGCAAAAGAAGUUCAAAUUGCCUACCGAAAAAGUUCAAAUUUGGCCCUUCCGCAAGGCACUUCAAUGAUUCACCUUCUUCAAUCCACACACAAGAUAACUUUAGUUAAACAGAUUUCUUUUGUUGCUGACAGUUAUUAGUUAGUAGUGUGGUCCGUUACUGACAUUUGCAGACUUAGAGUUAGUUAUUAGUUAGUUAGGAAAAUUGUUACUAGUUCAUUUUGGGUACAGACUGAUACCUUGUUCCUUAUUGUUCUCCGAA
Molecule: RNA transcript, 1930 nt
Organism: Arachis stenosperma
Lineage: Eukaryota; Viridiplantae; Streptophyta; Magnoliopsida; Fabales; Fabaceae
Gene name: 3-ketoacyl-CoA synthase 4-like
Exons: 3
Source: RefSeq, a predicted model, not a curated record